This 465-nucleotide ribosomal RNA is filed under the name uncultured bacterium. RNAcentral's name for it is "partial 16S ribosomal RNA". It matches the Rfam family "Bacterial small subunit ribosomal RNA", at positions 338 to 795 of the family's 1533-position model. The record is from RNAcentral.
CCUACGGGGGGCAGCAGUAGGGAAUCUUCCACAAUGGGCGAAAGCCUGAUGGAGCAACGCCGCGUGGGUGAAGAAGGUCUUCGGAUCGUAAAACCCUGUUGUUAGAGAAGAAAGUGCGUGAGAGUAACUGUUCACGUUUCGACGGUAUCUAACCAGAAAGCCACGUCUAACUACGUGCCAGCAGCCUAGGUAAUACGGAGGUGGCAAGCGUUAUCCGGAUUGAUUGGGCGUAAAGGGUACGCAGGCGGUCUUUUAAGUUUGAUGUGAAACCCUUUGGCUAAACCGGAGUAGUGCAUUGGAAACUGGGAGACUUGAGUGAAGAAGAGGAGAGUGGAACUCUAUGUGUAGCGGUGAAAUGCGUAGAUAUAUGGAAGAACACCAGUGGCGAAAGCGGCUCUCUGGUCUGUAACUGACGCUGAGGUUCGAAAGCGUGGGUAGCAAACAGGAUUAGAUACCCGUGUAGUC